RNAcentral lists this ribosomal RNA (1363 nucleotides) under Amusium pleuronectes. Its description in RNAcentral is "16S ribosomal RNA". It matches the Rfam family "Bacterial large subunit ribosomal RNA", at positions 216 to 2738 of the family's 2925-position model. The record is from RNAcentral. Lineage: Eukaryota; Metazoa; Mollusca; Bivalvia; Pectinida; Pectinidae.
UAAAUCAUUUUUUAUUGUUUUAGUAUAGGAGAUAGAAUAGAACGACUAGAGCGGCGAUAGAGUAUUGAUAGUAGCGUGAGUGAAGGAUUAAAAUAACCAAUUAAGUAUCGGUGGUGAGUGCUCGUACCUUUUGCAUCAUGGCUUAUACUACUUUUUAUGCUUAGGAAGUAUCCCGAAAGUUUUGUGAUCUACUUUCUUACCUUAGGUUGGUGUUGUAUUUACUAUCUAUAGAUGGGAAGAUAGUGGCGAAAUACCUUUCGCACUGGUUGAUAGCUGGUUAUUCUGGAAAUAUAUUUAAGUAUAGCCCCUUUUAUUGAUGAAAUUUACCGUUUUAAGUUUUUAAGUGUUUUAUAUUGUUUUGUGAGGGAGACAGUCUCUCCAGGCUAAGCUGGUGAGAUUAUUUAAAAGGAUGGUUGGUGAAUAAUAAAAAAGUUAAGAAGUGGGCUUGAAGAAGCUAUCUUUGUAGAGUGGGUUAAACCACAAAUGAGCUUUAUAAUAAUAAAUAAAAUUUUACUUAUCUUUUUGUUGUACGGAAUUUCUCCACUAAACUGUUUUUGUGGAGGUGAUAAUGUAAAGAUGAGUAGUCGAGAGGUUGUAGUUGUUUUAUUUUCAGGGAGAGAAAUAUAAAAGUUUUUUUCUUAUUGUUAAAAAAAGUUAAAGGAACUCGGCAAAAUUGGGGACCGCCUGUUUAUCAAAAACAUGGCUCCUUGAAUAUCAUGAGGGGUCGUGCCUUCCCGGUGAGCUUGCGAGCUUAAACGGACGCGGUAAAGCGUGCUAAGGUAGCUAAAUUAUGGCCUAUUAAUUGUAGGUCCUGUGAAUGGUUUGACGAGUUUCCAACUGUCUCUAAUUUUUUUUGGUGAACUUGAAUUGGAUGUGCAAAUGCUUCCAUGGGUAAGAAAGACGAGAAGACCCCGUGAAGUUAGAAAUUUUAGCUAUUGAGGCCUUUUAACUAUGAAGUUAAGUGUUAAAGGUUAUACUUUGUUAGGUGAAUAGUGACAGUUUUGGCUGGGGCAGCAAAAGAGCAAAGUCAGACUCUUUUAGUUUUAUGUGACUGGUGUGUUACGACCCACAAAUUUUAGGGUGUGAUUAUCAGAAGAAGUUACUCCGGGGAUAACAGCGUAAUCUGUCCUGACAGUUCUUAUAGAUGGGCGGGUUUGCGACCUCGAUGUUGGCUCUGGAUAUCCUAAGGCUUGUAGGCGGUCUUUAGGGUUGGUUCGUUCGCCCAUGAAAAUCCAACGUGAGCUGAGUUCAGAUCGGUGAAAGCUAGGUCGGUUUCUAUCUUCUUUCUUUAAAAGUUGGACUUUAGGGUACGAAAGGACAUUUAGUUCCAGGUUGUGUCCUGUAAUUUUUGUCUUUAUAAUAA